GAUGAAGAACGUAGCGAAAUGCGAUAAGUAAUGUGAAUUGCAGAAUUCAGUGAAUCAUCGAAUCUUUGAACGCACAUUGCGCCCCGUGGUAUUCCGCGGGGCAUGCCUGUUCGAGCGUCAUUUCACCACUCAAGCCUCGCUUGGUAUUGGGCGACGCGGUCCGCCGCGCGCCUCAAAUCGACCGGCUGGGUCGAUCGCACCCUCAGCGUUGUGGAAACUAUUCGCUAAAGGAGUUGUGGUCGGUCACGCCGUGAAACAAACCAAUCUUUCAAUGGUUGACCUCGGAUCAGGUAGGGAUACCCGCUGAACUUAAGCAUAUCAAUAAGCGGAGGA
This 333-nucleotide unclassified non-coding RNA is filed under the name soil metagenome. Its description in RNAcentral is "partial contains 5.8S ribosomal RNA, internal transcribed spacer 2, and large subunit ribosomal RNA". The stretch from base 1 to 120 matches the Rfam family "5.8S ribosomal RNA", at positions 35 to 154 of the family's 154-position model. The record is from RNAcentral.